This 1167-nucleotide long non-coding RNA is filed under the name Salmo salar (Atlantic salmon). Its description in RNAcentral is "lncRNA (ENSSSAG00000108482.1, ENSSSAG00000120685.1)". The record is from RNAcentral. Lineage: Eukaryota; Metazoa; Chordata; Actinopteri; Salmoniformes; Salmonidae.
CUGUGUUUGUUUGAGAAUGUUUUCAGAACUGUCAGCAUGGAAACAGACCAUGGUUUGUUUACUCCUAACAACGGACAAGCUGAACAUGGAAUCAUUGAUCAGUUCUUCCUCAAGUGACAGAUUCAUUUUUCAAGUACAGCACUAGAGAAUGCAGUGGAAUGCAAACAAGCAAACUAGUAAACGUCCCUUUACGGCUACAUACACGGAUGUUCCUAUGUGCAAGCACCGAAUGUAUGUGAGCUAAUGUGUGUGCUGUGUCCCUUUGUUUGUGUCCUAGUGCGUGCAUGCAUGUGUGUGCAUGUGUGUGGUUGUGCGCGCUCUUAAAGGUGGUUGAGCGUGCACUUGUCCCUGCACUUGUGUGUAUAUUAUUGUGUGCUUUUUUCAAUCAUCAUCUUGAAUCAACUGUAAGCGCAGAUGUGCUGUGACCUGACUAAGAUCAGAUAAAGUGCCCCCCCCCCUCCUACCCUCCUCCCCCCAGCUCCAUUUGUCAUGGGCCAGCUGUCGGGCUGCUGUGAUUGGUUGUUGUGGGAGACAGAUAGCCGAUAGGCUCUGAUUAACAGUAGUGGCUCUGGAACUUACUCAUUGAUCAAGAAGACAGGGGAGGAGGAGGGAGAGGACAGGAGAGGAGGAGGGAGAGGACAGGAGAGGAGGAGGGAGAGGACAGGAGAGGAGGAGGGAGAGAACAGGAGAGGAGGAGGGAGAGGACAGGAGAGGAGGAGGGAGAGGACAGGAGAGGAGGAGGGAGAGAACAGGAGAGGAGGAGGGAGAGAACAGGAGAGAACAGGAAAGGACAGGAGAGGAGGAGGGAGAGAACAGGAGAGGAGGAGGGAGAGAACAGGAGAGGAGGAGGGAGAGGACAGGAGAGGAGGAGGGAGAGGACAGGAGAGGAGGAGGGAGAGAAGAGGAGAGGAGGGAGGGAGAGGACAGGAGAGGAGGAGGGAGAGGACAGGAGAGGAGGAGGGAGAGAACAGGAGAGGAGGGAGGGAGGGAGAGGACAGGAGAGGAGGGAGGGAGAGGACAGGAGAGGAGGAGGGAGAGGACAGGAGAGGAGGAGGGAGAGGACAGGAGAGAACAGGAAAGGACAGGAGAGGAGGAGGGAGAGAACAGGAGAGGAGGGAGGGAGAGGACAGGAGAGGGGGAGGGAGAGGGGAGAGGACAGGAGAGGAG